Molecule: ribosomal RNA, 209 nt
Filed under: uncultured bacterium
Lineage: Bacteria
Description: partial 16S ribosomal RNA
Rfam family: Bacterial small subunit ribosomal RNA
Source: RNAcentral
UCGGAUUGUAGUCUGCAACUCGACUACAUGAAGCUGGAAUCGCUAGUAAUCGCGAAUCAGAAUGUCGCGGUGAAUACGUUCCCGGGUCUUGUACACACCGCCCGUCACACCAUGGGAGUCAGUAACGCCCGAAGCCGGUGACCCAACCAGUUCAGGAGGGAGCCGUCGAAGGUGGGACCGAUAAUGGGGUGAAGUCGUAACAAGGUACC